GCUAGUAAUGGCAGGUCAGCAUACUGCCGUGAAUACGUUCCCGGGCCUUGUACACACCGCCCGUCACACCAUGAGAGUCGGGAACACCCGAAGUCCGUAGUCUAACCGCAAGGAGGGCGCGGCCGAAGGUGGGCUUGAUAAUUGGGGUGAAGUCGUAACAAGGUACC
Molecule: ribosomal RNA, 167 nt
Filed under: uncultured bacterium
Lineage: Bacteria
Description: partial 16S ribosomal RNA
Rfam family: Bacterial small subunit ribosomal RNA
Source: RNAcentral